This 204-nucleotide ribosomal RNA is filed under the name uncultured bacterium. RNAcentral describes it as "partial 16S ribosomal RNA". It matches the Rfam family "Bacterial small subunit ribosomal RNA", at positions 524 to 723 of the family's 1533-position model. The record is from RNAcentral.
UACGUAGGGUGCGAGCGUUAAUCGGAAUUACUGGGCGUAAAGUGUGCGCAGGCGGCAGAGCAAGUCGAGUGUGAAAGCCCCGGGCUUAACUUGGGAAUUGCGCUCGAAACUACUUUGCUGGAGUGUGGCAGAGGAAGGUGGAAUUCCACGUGUAGUCGGUGGAAAUGACGUAGAGAUGUGGAGGAACACCAAUGGCGAAAGGCG